GUAGGUGGCAAGCGUUGUCCGGAAUUAUUGGGCGUAAAGCGCGCGCAGGCGGUUCUUUAAGUCUGAUGUGAAAGCCCACGGGCUCAACCGUGAGGGUCAUUGGAAACUGGAGAACUUGAGUACAGAAGAGGAAAGCGGAAUUCCACGUGUAGCGGUGAAAUGCGUAGAGAUGUGGAGGAACACCAGUGGCGAAGGCGGCUUUCUGGUCUGUAACUGACGCUGAGGCGCGAAAGCGUGGGGAGCAAACAGGAUUAGAUACCCUGGUAGUCCACGCCGUAAACGAUGAGUGCUAAGUGUUACGGGGGUUUCCGCCCCUUAGUGCUGCAGCUAACGCAUUAAGCACUCCGCCUGGGGAGUACGGCCGCAAGGCUG
RNAcentral lists this ribosomal RNA (372 nucleotides) under uncultured organism. RNAcentral describes it as "partial 16S ribosomal RNA". It matches the Rfam family "Bacterial small subunit ribosomal RNA", at positions 527 to 896 of the family's 1533-position model. The record is from RNAcentral.